RNAcentral lists this microRNA precursor (111 nucleotides) under Vigna radiata var. radiata (mung bean). RNAcentral describes it as "MIR394 microRNA precursor family". It matches the Rfam family "MIR394 microRNA precursor family". The record is from Rfam by way of RNAcentral. Lineage: Eukaryota; Viridiplantae; Streptophyta; Magnoliopsida; Fabales; Fabaceae.
CUUGCAGAGUUUCUUGGCAUUCUGUCCACCUCCAUUUGAUGUAUGUUUCUUUCUCUUGCAUUUUUUCACCACUACGAGGAGGUGGACAUACUGCCAACAGAGCUGUGUUGG